CAGCCGCCACGGUAAUACAGAGGGUGCGAGCGUUAAUCGGAUUUACUGGGCGUAAAGCGUGCGUAGGCGGCUUCUUAAGUCGGAUGUGAAAUCCCUGAGCUUAACUUAGGAAUUGCAUUCGAUACUGGGAAGCUAGAGUAUGGGAGAGGAUGGUAGAAUUCCAGGUGUAGCGGUGAAAUGCGUAGAGAUCGGAAGGAACAUCUGUGGCGAAGGCGACUAUCUGGGCCAACACUGACGCUGAGGCACGAAAGCGUGGGGAGCAAACAGGAUUAGAUACCCCCGUAGUCCCUGUCUCUUAUAC
Molecule: ribosomal RNA, 301 nt
Filed under: uncultured bacterium
Lineage: Bacteria
Description: partial 16S ribosomal RNA
Rfam family: Bacterial small subunit ribosomal RNA
Source: RNAcentral